This 391-nucleotide ribosomal RNA is filed under the name Cosmocercoides tonkinensis. Its description in RNAcentral is "eukaryotic LSU rRNA". It matches the Rfam family "Eukaryotic large subunit ribosomal RNA", at positions 1 to 383 of the family's 3401-position model. The record is from RNAcentral. Lineage: Eukaryota; Metazoa; Nematoda; Chromadorea; Rhabditida; Cosmocercidae.
UUGACCUCAGCUCAGUCGUGAUUACCCGCUGAAUUUAAGCAUAUAACUAAGCGGAGGAAAGGAAACUAACGAGGAUUCCCCUAGUAACGGCGAGUGAACGGGGAAAAGCCCAGCGCUGAAUCCUUUAGCCUCAGGCUACCAGGAAAUGUAGCGUAUAGGUGCAGCUAUUCGUUCUCUUCGCGCACCCAAAGUCCCCUUGAGCGGGGCUACAGUCCAUAGAAGGUGCUAGACCUGUACGGGUGGCGAGGUGUUCGAUUUGUUGCUCCUUGGAGUCGGGUUGCCUGAGAUCGCAGCCCAAAGAGGGUGGUAAACCUCAUCUAAGGCUAAAUAUGACCACGAGACCGAUAGCAAACAAGUACCGUGAGGGAAAGUUGCAAAGAACUUUGAAGAG